GAUGAACGCUGGCGGCGUGCCUAAUACAUGCAAGUCGAGCGAACAGACGAGGAGCUUGCUCCUCUGACGUUAGCGGCGGACGGGUGAGUAACACGUGGAUAACCUACCUAUAAGACUGGGAUAACUUCGGGAAACCGGAGCUAAUACCGGAUAAUAUAUUGAACCGCAUGGUUCAAUAGUGAAAGACGGUUUUGCUGUCACUUAUAGAUGGAUCCGCGCCGCAUUAGCUAGUUGGUAAGUUAACGGCUUACCAAGGCAACGAUGCGUAGCCGACCUGAGAGGGUGAUCGGCCACACUGGAACUGAGACACGGUCCAGACUCCUACGGGAGGCAGCAGUAGGGAAUCUUCCGCAAUGGGCGAAAGCCUGACGGAGCAACGCCGCAUGAGUGAUGAAGGUCUUCGGAUCGUAAAACUCUGUUAUUAGGGAAGAACAAAUGUGUAAGUAACUAUGCACGUCUUGACGGUACCUAAUCAGAAAGCCACGGCUAACUACGUG
Molecule: ribosomal RNA, 497 nt
Filed under: uncultured bacterium
Lineage: Bacteria
Description: partial 16S ribosomal RNA
Rfam family: Bacterial small subunit ribosomal RNA
Source: RNAcentral